GAAAUGCGAUAAGUAAUGUGAAUUGCAAAAUUCAGUGAAUCAUCGAAUCUUUGAACGCACAUUGCGCCCGCCAGUAUUCUGGCGGGCAUGCCUGUCCGAGCGUCAUUUCAACCAUCAAGCCCCCGGGCUUGUGUUGGGGACCUGCGGCUGCCCGCAGGCCCUGAAAACCAGUGGCGGGCUCGCUGUCACACCGAGCGUAGUAGCAAUCACCUCGCUCAGGGCGUGCUGCGGGUUCCGGCCGUUAAACAGCCUUACAAAACCCAAGGUUGACCUCGGAUUAGGUAGGAAGACCCGCUGAACUUAAGC
Molecule: unclassified non-coding RNA, 306 nt
Filed under: plant metagenome
Description: partial contains 5.8S ribosomal RNA, internal transcribed spacer 2, and large subunit ribosomal RNA
Rfam family: 5.8S ribosomal RNA (bases 1-105)
Source: RNAcentral